Molecule: transfer RNA, 63 nt
Filed under: Dipodomys ordii (Ord's kangaroo rat)
Lineage: Eukaryota; Metazoa; Chordata; Mammalia; Rodentia; Heteromyidae
Rfam family: tRNA
About the family: Transfer RNA (tRNA) molecules are approximately 80 nucleotides in length. Their secondary structure includes four short double-helical elements and three loops (D, anti-codon, and T loops).
Source: Rfam by way of RNAcentral
GGUGCUGUGGCUCAAUUGGUAGAGCGCUAGCCUUAAGCACAGAGUGGCUAACAAACAGCACCA